Long non-coding RNA from Austrofundulus limnaeus, 2089 nucleotides. RefSeq lists it as uncharacterized. The transcript has 3 exons. Lineage: Eukaryota; Metazoa; Chordata; Actinopteri; Cyprinodontiformes; Rivulidae. The record is from RefSeq and is a predicted model, not a curated record.
UACUUUGGAGGGGAAAAUAACCUGCACAUUCAAAGAGAAAAUUCCAACAGAAAGGCCCAGCUGGGUUUCAACCUACAAACUUUACACACUAAAACAUGACCUUGAGCCAGAACUUUAUUAGAGUUUAAUUUGCGACCUCUUCUUGGAGCUUGUGACAAGCCAAGGAUGCUACUGCUGUCUCAUGGGGUCUAUGAGGGCAUGGAAGUCUCCACAUAGUGAACAAUGGUCACUGGUCCUCAUAUCCAACAGUCGCAGUGCAAGGGGCAGGUAAAAACUGGACAUGAAUAAAUGUUUUGGCUCUCCUCCAAGACAAAGAAAACCCCGUCCAGAAGACCUAUGCGUUUUUGAAAUUUUUCUGGAUUAUUGAGACACAUCAGGACAUCUAUCCAGAGAGGUCCCCACAAGGAUUCAAUCUGGCAACCUUGAUGAGAGGAAACAACUGAGCCCCUGUGCCAUCAAAUCCAAAAAUCAUUUCUUUUUAAUUUGCACUAUGAUUAGAUUUGUGGACUUGCCACAAACAAGACUCAGUGGUAUUGCCUUCUCUACCUGCAAGCAUCUUACAAACUUUCAUAAGCUUUUGUUUGUCUGAGUUUUUUUAUUUUAUAAUCCAUAAAUACACAAAAGAUUCUGCUUAGGUAACACUACAAAUGAAUGCCUUCACACUUUCAAAAGACAAACAAAAAUUCAGCGUAAUAAUCCAAUGCACAUCUUACACUGUAAUAAGUACUUUUUUUUCUUUUUUUACAAAUUAAGUUCUUAUUUUAAAUUAUUUAUUUGUUUUAAUUUAAAAAUGCAGAUGGGAGAGACCUGUCUAAAGUCAGAUUUGUGUCAAGUCCAGCUCCUGGUUGUAGUUUUGUUACUARGUUUUCCUUUUAAACUGCCAAAAAUCAAACAAAAAAGUUACUUUCAUUUACAAAAAAUAAUCUGUUCUUGAACCUUUAACUUAGCUCCUCUUUACACAAUUGACACAAACAAAAUGUUUGACACGGUGGACUUCCUUGCACUGGAGAAACUCUGUCAAAUAUGCAGUAUAAUUUAGUGGAUCUUAUUUAAAGUGCUGCUUUAACCCAGAUGUCCAGAUAUUCCCAGGCAAUAGGCGAAUGUAAAUAUUUGAUAUCUCCUCAAUCAAUGAGUGUUCACUUGAUAUGAAACUAAGCAUUGCCAAAGAAUAUCAAAGGCCUUUCUGUGUUCAGUCAUAAAUAUUUCAUUUUCGUUAGCCAUUUGGAUUGAAUAUUUAAUUAAAUCUCCCUUUCCCUGYGGAAAAAUGCAUAAAGAACAGCAUUUAAUUUGAUACUUAAAGGCAAUGAGCUGAUAACCUAGGCRCACACCCGCAGCAAUUGAAUCAACAUUUAUCCUUGUGGGGUUUUUUUCACAUUGGCAGUYUAGUGAAGUGUACUUGCUUAAAAGAAAAAAAAAAGGUAGUGCGGCUGUAGACGCCUUGAUAAAACAUUCAUGCGACAGCAGCCAUGAAUAAAACAUACAGGAAUGAUCCAUGGGUCAAGCCACCUGUAAAUGUGGGCAGAGCUGUGUGUCAUGAGAUGUAAAUAUYGUUAAGCCUGAGACUUUCAAUGUAACAGAGAUGCUUGAGCUCCUCGGAGGUGAAACAGUUUUCAGACAGAAAUAAUCUGCACAGUUUACGAAACCAUUCAGCUUUGAGUAAACGCCAGGCUUCRAAUGAUAAAGUCAUUACCUGUCGUAAUUUUACCUGUCACUGUCAAACUGAUGGAGCCCUAAAGGACCGAGCAGACAGACAGAAAGAAGAUCAUGAYGGAAUUAAAACUGUAUUAAAAUGCAAAAAUUAUAAGCUCUUUUUAAAUUGUCUUYAAAUUUGUAAUAACUUUGAAACAGAGCAAACACUGCAUGGUUCCAAUAAAUCAAUUAUGGAUUGCCUUGAAGCAAAUAAGUCAAAGAUUUUACAAAAAAAAAAAAAACUUCACUUUUGCUCAUUUCAAAGUUUAUUUGAGUUAUAAAGAUUGAAAAAAAAAUCAUUACUCCAGCAGGAAUUCAGCAGCUAGAGUUCUGAUGGAAGGUUUCAUCMGUCCGUUUUAAAUUCCAAAGGCUCACUCUAACACUGGGCUACCAAACAUUU